Dicentrarchus labrax (European seabass) is the source of this 190-nucleotide long non-coding RNA. RefSeq lists it as uncharacterized. The transcript is spliced from 3 exons. NCBI's taxonomy places the organism in Eukaryota, Metazoa, Chordata, Actinopteri, Moronidae. The record is from RefSeq and is a predicted model, not a curated record.
UUCUAAUUAGAACUUCUUGUCUUUUACAAGUACAUAAUUCUAAGAACCAUCCUCUUACAUCAAGUGUAUGCUGGGGCAACCUCUUUGUUUUUAUAUGUGAAUGUGUGUAACAUUUCAUUAUCUACCAGACUGAUAAAGCAGGAUGGCAGAACCAGUUAGCUUCAGAGUUCUUUUUUGAGGUGACGACGAU